RNAcentral lists this ribosomal RNA (433 nucleotides) under uncultured bacterium. RNAcentral describes it as "partial 16S ribosomal RNA". It matches the Rfam family "Bacterial small subunit ribosomal RNA", at positions 29 to 507 of the family's 1533-position model. The record is from RNAcentral.
GCGCACGCUGGCGGCAGGCCUAACACCUGCCAGUCGAACGAACCUUUCGGGGUUAGUGGCGGACGGGUGAGUAACACGUGGGAACGUGCCUUUAGGUUCGGAAUAACUCAGGGAAACUUGUGCUAAUACCGAAUGUGCCCUUCGGGGGAAAGAUUAAUCGCCUUUAGAGCGGCCCGCGUCUGAUUAGCUAGUUGGUUGAGGUAAUGGCUCACCAAGGCGACGAUCAGUAGCUGGUCUGAGAGGAUGAUCAGCCACAUUGGGACUGAGACACGGCCCAAACUCCUACGGGAGGCAGCAGUGGGGAAUCUUGCGCAAUGGGCGAAAGCCUGACGCAGCCAUGCCGCGUGAAUGAUGAAGGUCUUAGGAUUGUAAAAUUCUUUCACCGGGGACGAUAAUGACGGUACCCGGAGAAGAAGCCCCGGCUAACUUCGUG